This 19-nucleotide unclassified non-coding RNA is filed under the name Mus musculus (house mouse). Its description in RNAcentral is "oocyte_clustered_small_RNA11433". Lineage: Eukaryota; Metazoa; Chordata; Mammalia; Rodentia; Muridae. The record is from RNAcentral.
AAAGGCACCUCAGAGACAA